This 482-nucleotide ribosomal RNA is filed under the name uncultured bacterium. RNAcentral describes it as "partial 16S ribosomal RNA". It matches the Rfam family "Bacterial small subunit ribosomal RNA", at positions 30 to 507 of the family's 1533-position model. The record is from RNAcentral.
AUUGAACGCUGGCGGCAUGCCUUACACAUGCCAGUCGAACGGUAACGCGCCUUCGGGUGCCGACGAGUGGCGAACGGGUGAGUAAUACAUCGGAACGUGCCCGAUCGUGGGGGAUAACGAGGCGAAAGCUUUGCUAAUACCGCAUACGAUCUACGGAUGAAAGCAGGGGACCGCAAGGCCUUGCGCGGACGGAGCGGCCGAUGGCAGAUUAGGUAGUUGGUGGGAUAAAAGCUUACCAAGCCGACGAUCUGUAGCUGGUCUGAGAGGAUGAUCAGCCACACUGGGACUGAGACACGGCCCAGACUCCUACGGGAGGCAGCAGUGGGGAAUUUUGGACAAUGGGCGCAAGCCUGAUCCAGCCAUGCCGCGUGCAGGAUGAAGGCCUUCGGGUUGUAAACUGCUUUUGUACGGAACGAAAAGCCUUCUUUUAAUACAGGAGGGUCAUGACGGUACCGUAAGAAUAAGCACCGGCUAACUACGUG